UGAUGUGAAUGCCCAUUUUCUUAUUAACAGUUGACCUUGAAAUUGUCAACUAGCAAGAUGAGUGGAGAGGUGCUUUAUUUCUCAUUUAACAUAAAAUUGAAUUUAUAACCAAUUGUUGUCCACAUUAUUUAUUAUUUUAGCAUAAGGCAAUUUAGGCCAUUUGAAUAGUGAACAAUGACCUAAAUGGUUUGUUCUUGGUCUGGAAUGGAUAGCUGUGAACAAUAUUAUAAAGAAAAUAUUGUGCAAAUUAACAAUAUAUAUAUAUAUAUAUAUCAAGAAAAGAAUGUUACUAUUAAAAACACCCAUCACUACCCUUCUUAUUUUAAAUUUUUUUUAAGCUUUUUUAAUAAUCAACAGAAUUAUAGAAGAGUUGUAGUGAUCUUAUUGUUACAGAUUGUGCUUCUACACAUUUACCUUACUUCACAAAAAAAGAAAAAAAAAAGAUGUUGAAAUUUUUUAUUUAGUUUUGAGUUAACUAUGUGAUCAAAACAGGAAACAUGAUGUUAAGCAAUAGUUUUGAAGCAUAAUGCUACAAACAUAAAUUCACUGUGGAAAUAGAAAAAUGCAAGUAUGAUGCGCACAAACCAGAGGGCUGUAUGCAACAAUCCCAAUUCCUAGUUCUCUGCUUAUAUCAAAAUAACAAUGGCACAGAUUAGGAAACACUGGAUUCUUGUUUAUUGCUUGCAAAACUGACUAGUUAACAUAAUAAUAGUACCUCUACACCUCACCUGCAAGUAGGAAUGAUUUCUUCCUCUGCAUCUCUUGUCCACCCACAAGGACCGCUCCAACUGCAUUGCUGUUAGAUGUAUCUAGCUUCACACCCGACUCGUAAAACUUGAGGUCGUCAUAACCCGACCUGUGAAAUCUGCAUCAUAUUACGUUGAAUUUUAGGGAAGUUUGGUCUCAGUCUCUCUUUCUCUGCAUUUCAGGUAUCCCUAUUGAACAUCGGAUUUGUUGAACAAGAUGGUGGAGGUUGCAACAACUAAACUGGUUAAACAAGAUGCUCAUUCUUUAUUCUCUUGCUUUUUAUUUACAUACAUACAUGCCUAAUUGUGUGUGUAGGGUCAGUUAUUUGGUGGAACAAAUGAUUCCCAUCUGUGUUUGAUUUACACUUUGUAGGGGAUUUUACUGUUGAGGAGGACACAAACAGGGAGAUAAUGUACCCCCUCGUUUAACAUCAUUUGAAGCUACCUGUUUUCCUUCAGAGCUUCUUUGAGAGGUGCAAUAUUUGCUCCAGGAAAGAGCUAAAUGUCGUAUGCGGUGCUACCUCUUAUAAGGGGUUUGGAGAGGGAUUGUGUACUGUAAUUUGGUCAAUGUUGCUUGCUUAAUAGAUUGUAUAAUAAGAAAUCAUUUUACAUGUUCUGUGUGAAAUGUACGAAGUGAUUCAAGUACUAUCUAUACUAUUAGCAUGUGGAUAUUUCAUGCCAAAGUACCUUUAUGGUUCGUCUUUGCAGUCCCUUGUUAAUCUAUACUAUAUAUAUAAUAGAAUGUAGUGCUGUGUUUUACAAGGCUUGAAAAUGCCAUUCUAAAAUUCUCAUAAAUCUGAAAAAUACGUGGCAAGUCUCUUUUGAGUUUAUAACUCUUUUCCUUCCCUCUCAAAGCCUUUCAUAACAAUAAAAACUUCUACUCUUCCACCUUCCCACUCUCCCACUAUCCACAACUCCUAUCCAUAAAAAACUGUCAACAAAAAAAAAAAACAAAAUCUAUCCAAACAAAUCUGUUAAAAAAAAAAAA
Molecule: non-coding RNA, 1734 nt
Organism: Camellia sinensis
Lineage: Eukaryota; Viridiplantae; Streptophyta; Magnoliopsida; Ericales; Theaceae
Source: RefSeq, a predicted model, not a curated record